UACGAAGGUGGCAAGCGUUGUUCGGAUUUACUGGGCGUACAGGGAGCGUAGGCGGUUGGAUAAGCCCUCCGUGAAAUCUCCAGGCUUAACCUGGAAAGUGCAGAGGGGACUGUUCAGCUAGAGGAUGGGAGAGGAGCGCGGAAUUCCCGGUGUAGCGGUGAAAUGCGUAGAUAUCUGGAGGAACACCGGUGGCGAAGGCGGCAUUCUGGACCGAAACUGACGCUGAGGCGCGAAAGCCAGGGGAGCAAACGGG
RNAcentral lists this ribosomal RNA (253 nucleotides) under uncultured bacterium. RNAcentral describes it as "partial 16S ribosomal RNA". It matches the Rfam family "Bacterial small subunit ribosomal RNA", at positions 524 to 776 of the family's 1533-position model. The record is from RNAcentral.